UACGGGGGGAGCAAGCGUUGUUCGGAUUUACUGGGCGUAAAGGGCGCGUAGGCGGUCAGCACAAGUCAGUUGUGAAAUCUCCGGGCUUAACUCGGAAAGGUCAACUGAUACCGUGCGACUAGAGUGCAGAAGGGGCAACUGGAAUUCUCGGUGUAGCGGUGAAAUGCGUAGAUAUCGAGAGGAACACCUGCGGCGAAGGCGGGUUGCUGGGCUGACACUGACGCUGAUGCGCGAAAGCCAGGGGAGCGAACGGG
This 254-nucleotide ribosomal RNA is filed under the name uncultured bacterium. RNAcentral's name for it is "partial 16S ribosomal RNA". It matches the Rfam family "Bacterial small subunit ribosomal RNA", at positions 524 to 776 of the family's 1533-position model. The record is from RNAcentral.